RNAcentral lists this ribosomal RNA (460 nucleotides) under uncultured bacterium. RNAcentral describes it as "partial 16S ribosomal RNA". It matches the Rfam family "Bacterial small subunit ribosomal RNA", at positions 339 to 795 of the family's 1533-position model. The record is from RNAcentral.
CUACGGGUUGCUGCAGUAAGGAAUAUUGGGCAAUGGACGCAAGUCUGACCCAGCCAUGCCGCGUGCAGGAUGACAGCCCUACGGGUUGUAAACUGCUUUUAUACGGGAAAAAACCCCUGCACGAGUUGCGGGGUUGAUGGUACCGUAAGAAUAAGCAUCGGCUAACUCCGUGCCAGCAGCCGCGGUAAUACGGAGGAUGCAAGCGUUAUGCGGAUUCAUUGGGUUUAAAGGGUGCGUAGGCGGAAUGAUUAGUCAGUGGUGAAAUCCUACAGCUUAACUGUAGAACUGCCAUUGAUACUGUUGUUCUUGAGUACAUUUGAAGUGGGCGGAAUGUGUCAUGUAGCGGUGAUAUGCAUAGAGAUGACACAGAACACCGAUCGCGAAGGCAGCUCACUAAACUGUAACUGACGCUGAGGCACGAAAGCGUGGGGAUCAAACAGGAUUAGAUACCCGGGUAGUC